ACGAAGGGGACUAGCGUUGUUCGGAAUUACUGGGCGUAAAGCGCACGUAGGCGGAUUUGUUAGUCAGGGGUGAAAUCCCGGGGCUCAACCUCGGAACUGCCUUUGAUACUGCAAGUCUUGAGUCCGGAAGAGGUGAGUGGAAUUCCUAGUGUAGAGGUGAAAUUCGUAGAUAUUAGGAAGAACACCAGUAGCGAAGGCGGCUCACUGGUCCAGUACUGACGCUGAGCUGCCAAAGCGUGGGGAGCAAACAG
Molecule: ribosomal RNA, 251 nt
Filed under: uncultured prokaryote
Description: partial 16S rRNA
Rfam family: Bacterial small subunit ribosomal RNA
Source: RNAcentral